This 366-nucleotide ribosomal RNA is filed under the name uncultured organism. RNAcentral's name for it is "bacterial SSU rRNA". It matches the Rfam family "Bacterial small subunit ribosomal RNA", at positions 526 to 896 of the family's 1533-position model. The record is from RNAcentral.
CGGAGGAUCCAAGCGUUAUCCGGAAUCAUUGGGUUUAAAGGGUCCGUAGGCGGUUUUAUAAGUCAGUGGUGAAAUCUGGUCGCUCAACGAUCAAACGGCCAUUGAUACUGUAAGACUUGAAUUACUUGGAAGUAACUAGAAUAUGUAGUGUAGCGGUGAAAUGCUUAGAGAUUACAUGGAAUACCAGUUGCGAAGGCAGGUUACUACAAGUAUAUUGACGCUGAUGGACGAAAGCGUGGGGAGCGAACAGGAUUAGAUACCCUGGUAGUCCACGCCGUAAACGAUGGAUACUAGCUGUUUGGAGCAAUCUGAGUGGCUAAGCGAAAGUGAUAAGUAUCCCACCUGGGGAGUACGCUCGCAAGAGUG